AUGUUCGCUUCGGCAGCACAUAUACUAAAAUUGGAGCGAUACAGAGAAGAUUAGCAUGGCCCUUGCUCAAGGAUGACAUGCAAAUUAGUGAAGCAUUCCAUAUUUUA
RNAcentral lists this small nuclear RNA (107 nucleotides) under Dipodomys ordii (Ord's kangaroo rat). The record is from RNAcentral. Lineage: Eukaryota; Metazoa; Chordata; Mammalia; Rodentia; Heteromyidae.